GACGGAAGGUGCAAGCGUUGCUCGGAAUCACUGGGCGUAAAGGGUGCGUAGGCGGCCGUGCAAGUCUGGCGUGAAAGCCCCGGGCUCAGCCCGGGAAGUGCGCUCGAAACUGCGCGGCUCGAGUGCCGGAGGGGAGAGUGGAAUUCCUGGUGUAGCGGUGAAAUGCGUAGAUAUCAGGAGGAAUACCGGUGGCGAAAGCGACUCUCUGGACAGUUCCUGACGCUGAGGCACGAAGGUCAGGGGAGCAAACGGG
This 253-nucleotide ribosomal RNA is filed under the name uncultured bacterium. Its description in RNAcentral is "partial 16S ribosomal RNA". It matches the Rfam family "Bacterial small subunit ribosomal RNA", at positions 524 to 776 of the family's 1533-position model. The record is from RNAcentral.